RNAcentral lists this ribosomal RNA (464 nucleotides) under uncultured bacterium. RNAcentral's name for it is "partial 16S ribosomal RNA". It matches the Rfam family "Bacterial small subunit ribosomal RNA", at positions 29 to 507 of the family's 1533-position model. The record is from RNAcentral.
ACGAACGCUGGCGGCGUGCUUAACACAUGCCAGUCGAACGGAAAGGCCCCUUUGGGGGUCCUCGAGUGGCGAACGGGUGAGUAACACGUGAGUAACCUGCCCUUGACUUCGGGAUAACUUCAGGAAACUGGGGCUAAUACCGGAUAGGAAUCCUUGCUGCAUGGUGGGGGUUGGAAAGCUUCGGCGGUUUUGGAUGGACUCGCGGCUUAUCAGCUUGUUGGUGGGGUAGUGGCUUACCAAGGCUUUGACGGGUAGCCGGCCUGAGAGGGCGACCGGCCACAUUGGGACUGAGAUACGGCCCAGACUCCUACGGGAGGCAGCAGUGGGGAAUAUUGCACAAUGGGCGGAAGCCUGAUGCAGCAACGCCGCGUGCGGGAUGACGGCCUUCGGGUUGUAAACCGCUUUCAGCAGGGGCGAAGCUUGUGGUGACGGUACCUGCAGAAGAAGCACCGGCUAACUACGUG